ACAUCUAGGUAUUAGGUUGCAAACUUGCAACAGCUUCAAACCAUCUGCAUUACCCGCGGAAGUGGUUCUGUGACCGUUACCACAAUUGUGACCACAUCCGAGAUGAUGAACCAUGUUUGGGACUUUGGUGUGAUCAUGUGAUAAAUAGAAUGGUUCGAACUAGAGCCGUGGCUUUGCAGAAGUGUAUAUGUUCAAGUGAGGAUAUACUGUCACAUGCUAAGAAACUGCUGAAAGCAGAACUUCCUGCAUCACUGAGACUUAUAGUUAAUAAAGGAGUUUAGUUUGUUUUUCAGAUUUUAUGGAAGUUUUUUGAAGUGUCCUGUUACUUUGUAGACAGAUAAAUAUGCGUUUUUACAAGUAAAGAUUUGAAGUCAAAAGUGUAUUCACUAUUCGAUGAAUCCUUCCACAGACUCAAUUUUUUUUUUUUUUUAGAUUCCAAUGAGCCACAAGGGCAAUAUAAAUUACAAAUGGGGGUGAGGGGAUUUGAACCUGAGACCUAUUGUACACAGACCCUCAAUCUUAACCACUAGGCCAAGACAUCAUUGGUACCACACACUCAAUUAUGAUUGUCACUUGUAACUUUAUUGGUGGAAGUAGGGAUGUCAAUUAGUUGAUACGUCCGUGAACAACUUGUGUACAAGCUCGGUCUAAGCUUGUUCAUUAAUAAAUAAACGAGUCUGAACAAAAUUUUGAAGCUCGUUUAAUAAAUGAUACUAGCUCGAACAACUUGGUGGUUGGCUCGUUUCGGUUCGCGAACAGCUCGCUCACGUUCGUUUAUAAGCUCGUUUAGGGUAGACUUACUUUCAACUGGCCUAAGAAACUCUGGGAAGGAAUUCUGAUAGGAUCACACUAGAUCAUUAAUAAGAUGUCUGAAAUUUAUUCCUUAUACAGUUAUACUUAAAAAGUUAAAAAGCUCUCUUCGUCAAUCAUGUUUGUACGUGACUUGAGUAAGUUUUACGGAGUAGUUGUUAAUAUUUGAUGUCUUUGUUUGUCUGUUGUUUUCUAACAGGCCUUCGAGUUUCUCAGUUUAUUGAAGAUAAAGUUGGCUCGUCUGAUCCUAUCACGAAGAUGUCUUCAACAGGGACCAAUUCUCAGAUUUCUGUCAUAACAACUGCAGUUUGAACGAAAAUACUUCUGAUGUAGAAAAAAACAAUAUGCCUCUCAAUAAUAUUCAAUAUAUUUUUCUUCUCUGUUUUAAUCCUUAAAUUCAUUGUUAGAAUCACUGAGUGAAAAAGUAGGUGCCUACUUUCACUGUCCUAGAAAGUUUAACUGUUUAUUGCCUUUGUUGUUUUUUAUUCUCUCAAGGAAAGUGCAGGGGUUGAGCAUACCUCUAAAGAACACAAACCUUUUGCACGCAAUUUUUGGCGACAGAAUAUUGUUGCAGUAACAAAAACCCUGAUGAAGUGACAGCAUGUACCAAUGCUAGAGUUGAUACUGAUGCCUCUUCCUCUAGUCGGCAAGAUCAGUUUCGGUGGGUGGAUGGUUACAAGUGUUCUAUAUGUGGAAUAGAGAUGCCUCUUGAAUUUUUUGAUGAAAGACAAGAACAUUUUGAUUUUCAUCUUGCUGAAAGAUUGCAGGAAGUAGCAGCUCAAUGAAUCAUUGCUCGAAGCAAAGGUAUAUUAAAAAAGACCAGGUUGUGAGCCAAAGUAGAAAGAUAAGGCGCAAGUCAUUACCAGAACAAGGCAAAUAUCUUCCUAUUGAUCUGCUUUUCACAAAGAGGAUCAAAAUACUUGAUAUUUUGUGAUCUAUCUGUAAAAAACAUCUGUAUAUGUAAUUCAAUCAGAAUUCUUGAACAUUAUCUGUCUUUUUUUGUUUAUAGUCUGUGUAUGUAAUAUGUAGGUACAAGGAAUGGAAAGAAAAAAAAAGUUUGUUAUAGUUGGUCUAUGUAAUUUUCU
This is a long non-coding RNA of Spinacia oleracea (spinach), 1895 nucleotides long. RefSeq lists it as uncharacterized. Lineage: Eukaryota; Viridiplantae; Streptophyta; Magnoliopsida; Caryophyllales; Amaranthaceae. The transcript is spliced from 3 exons. The record is from RefSeq and is a predicted model, not a curated record.